This 484-nucleotide ribosomal RNA is filed under the name uncultured bacterium. RNAcentral's name for it is "partial 16S ribosomal RNA". It matches the Rfam family "Bacterial small subunit ribosomal RNA", at positions 30 to 507 of the family's 1533-position model. The record is from RNAcentral.
AUUGAACGCUGGCGGCAGGCCUAACACAUGCAAGUCGAGCGGAUGAUGGGAGCUUGCUCCUGGAUUCAGCGGCGGACGGGUGAGUAAUGCCUAGGAAUCUGCCUGGUAGUGGGGGAUAACGUCCGGAAACGGGCGCUAAUACCGCAUACGUCCUGAGGGAGAAAGUGGGGGAUCUUCGGACCUCACGCUAUCAGAUGAGCCUAGGUCGGAUUAGCUAGUUGGUGGGGUAAAGGCCUACCAAGGCAACGAUCCGUAACUGGUCUGAGAGGAUGAUCAGUCACACUGGAACUGAGACACGGUCCAGACUCCUACGGGAGGGAGCAGUGGGGAAUAUUGGACAAUGGGCGAAAGCCUGAUCCAGCCAUGCCGCGUGUGUGAAGAAGGUCUUCGGAUUGUAAAGCACUUUAAGUUGGGAGGAAGGGCAGUAAGUUAAUACCUUGCUGUUUUGACGUUACCAACAGAAUAAGCACCGGCUAACUUCGUG